Lolium rigidum is the source of this 857-nucleotide long non-coding RNA. RefSeq lists it as uncharacterized. The record is from RefSeq and is a predicted model, not a curated record. The transcript is spliced from 3 exons. NCBI's taxonomy places the organism in Eukaryota, Viridiplantae, Streptophyta, Magnoliopsida, Poales, Poaceae.
GCGUUGAAUAGACAGCGGUUUCAUCUGUUCAUUCAAUUAUAUAUGAGACCCUCAUGCUUUGUUUUGGUUGCAGGGUGGUUUGACAGAGAUCUGUUUGCACUGUCUCGCCUCACCGCAUGCAGUUGAGACUAUAUGUUGAUGCUACUGAGCAGCGACAACAUGGAUGACGGCCAUCAGAAACACCACAUAAAGUUAAGGUUAUUUUAUUUCCUAUGGCAAGAGGCAUGAAUGGCCGUAUUGUGAAGAAAUUUGUCAAGUUAGCUUGUGUCAUCAAAGAUAUUUAUUUGUGGUAGAUUUUUGGCAGGUCCCAUAGAGACCUCCAAGGGAUAUGGAGAUUUGGAUGACCUGAAAAAGCCUUCAAAGACAGGUUCUGGCUGAAAUUAGGAGGAGAGGAACAAAACUGGAUACUGAAGUCUGCCGGGAAGGAUAAAGAAAAAUAGCAGCCUUCACUAAAUUUGGUUAACAUAGUGCAUGCCAUUUAUAUCAGUAAGACACAUGUGUAUAUCUAAUAGUUAAUUGUUUAUGUUCUGCAAGAUUUUUCAAUAUGAAAUCUAGAGGUGUUGUCGUCAAUCUUUGAUACAAAGACUGGGCAAUUAUAUAUUAGGUGUACAAUGGUCAUUCCAUCACAUUUCUUUGAAUUCCCUGUGCAAAUAAGCUAUAUAUGUUUAAAGAACGGUUUUCACAUUUACUUAAACUGGAGAACAUGUUUAAAUCCUAUUGUAGUGAUCUAUUUUUCUUUGCAUAUAGAGAACAUACAGGUUGAGAUAUAUGCACUCACAGAAAGUAGAUUAAUUGGGCUGAGGAGGUGAUGCAUACAUAUAUUCUGUACUAAGCUAGCUUCUAGGAUGUUGCAACCA